Molecule: ribosomal RNA, 253 nt
Filed under: uncultured bacterium
Lineage: Bacteria
Description: partial 16S ribosomal RNA
Rfam family: Bacterial small subunit ribosomal RNA
Source: RNAcentral
UACGAAGGGGGCUAGCGUUGCUCGGAAUUACUGGGCGUAAAGGGCGCGUAGGCGGAUAGUUUAGUCAGAGGUAAAAGCCCAGGGCUCAACCUUGGAACUGCCUUUGAUACUGGCUAUCUUGAGUCCGGGAGAGGUGAGUGGAACUGCGAGUGUAGAGGUGAAAUUCGUAGAUAUUCGCAAGAACACCAGUGGCGAAGGCGGCUCACUGGCCCAUUACUGACGCUGAGGCACGAAAGCGUGGGGAGCAAACAGG